Molecule: unclassified non-coding RNA, 148 nt
Organism: Callithrix jacchus (white-tufted-ear marmoset)
Lineage: Eukaryota; Metazoa; Chordata; Mammalia; Primates; Cebidae
Rfam family: Metazoan signal recognition particle RNA
About the family: The signal recognition particle (SRP) is a universally conserved ribonucleoprotein.
Source: Ensembl
GCUGGGUAUGGUGGGGCAUACCUGUAGUCCCAGCUCCUUAGGAGGCUGAGGCAGGAGAAUCACUUGAGCCCAGGAGUUCAAGACUGCAGUGAGCUAUGAUCACACCACAGCACUCCAGCUUGCACAACAGAGUGAGACCCUGUCUCUA